AACAGAAGCUAAAACCUUCUUGCUGACCGA
Molecule: transfer RNA, 30 nt
Filed under: Corucia zebrata
Lineage: Eukaryota; Metazoa; Chordata; Lepidosauria; Squamata; Scincidae
Description: partial tRNA-His
Source: RNAcentral